This is a long non-coding RNA of Megachile rotundata (alfalfa leafcutting bee), 1265 nucleotides long. Lineage: Eukaryota; Metazoa; Arthropoda; Insecta; Hymenoptera; Megachilidae. The record is from RefSeq and is a predicted model, not a curated record.
GUAUGUAUAUGUACGUUCUAAUGGUCUAUGGAACAAUGUUGUUCAAUGUAAAAAUUAACUCCUAUAUGUAUAUGUACGUUCUAAUGGCCCAUGCAGCAUUUUAAAAAUCAACUCCUAUACAAUUAAACUCAAAUUUUUGUUCCUAAAAGAAUGUAAGAUCAAAGAAAAGAACGUAAAGUGAUGACCCAACAUCCGAAGAUACAAGUUGAGCGAUGUCCGACCAUCAAUAAAUGGAAUUAAUCGCUUCCGUUUCUGUGUAAGGAUCCCACCGGUAGAAUGCAAUUUGUAAAUAAAGGAACAAAGACGAACGAGUAGGAGGCGGCAUUCUUCAAACGCGAUAAAGGAACAUCAUGGACCUCCCAAUCCGUCAGGUGAGCUACCUAACCGGCAGGUAGUGACGAGAAUCCGUAUCGUAAACGAGUCGUGCAACCGGUGAGUCGUUGCAUCGGUUUUUCGAGGAAAGCUGCUACCUUGAGCUGUUACUACUUUGAGAAGAAACACGUAUAUUUGUAGACAUCGAGAAGAUUUUGAAUCAACAACCAUAGCACAUCUUAUUUAUUGCGUUUAGAUUUAAUAUAAAGAAACGUAACGUGUUCCUACUUAUUUGAACUACUUCCAAUUUGCUGUGAAACGCUCCGCUAAUAAUCGAACUGCAGAGAGCUGUCGAACAAAUUACGAAUCUCCGUCGACGGGUUCGUUUAACAACGAUCACAGUCCGUUACACGUCCAUAGCUGCGCAUCGGCGAUAUCGCGACUUUUCCCUUCACAAAAUUACUAGCACAAAUAUCUGUCAGGGCUGAAUGGUUACUUUACCGGCCAAAAGCGCGCGCGAUGGCAAACAAGAAACGGUCCUGGUCAAAUAUCUACUCGCGAUACAUCGGCCAGUCGACGUAACUUGCUGUUGAUUUUUGUCAUUUGACUCGAAAUGGUCAGUCUGUCUGUCUGGCUGUCUGUUCGUCGAACGGUUAACUGUUCCAUCUGCAACGAUAGCUCUCUGACGUUCAACUUUGAGUAACCUUGGAAUACUGUAGGCUGCAAAAAUUAUAUCAGCGACAAACAAGCGUUAAAUGAUAAAUAAGCGUUGAAUGAUAAACAGAAUAAGAGUUAGACAAUAAGCAAAAAUAAUUUGAGGAUCCACAAGGGAUGUGUAAAGAGAUGUUACUAAGUUAGGGAUUCAAGAACUUGGAAAAAUGUUUUCAAGCAUCAGACAUUUUGUCAACGAUGCAGUCAUGAUAGCAGAGGAUCCUCGAAUUAUUUUGACAAGU